AGUAAUCAUUGGUUAUAAAAAACUAAAUUGUGCAACCUCUAUCAUCAUGCCUUAUUCCAACAGGUGAUUAAAUGGUAUAUGAAUUUAGAUAUCCGCUCACAGAGCAUCCACUUACCAUCAAGCAUACAAUAUAUGAGUAUUAGACAGUAAUAGCUACAACAGAUAGAUGUUUAUUAGUUUUAUAAGCAUAAUAAUUUUUACUUACAAAUGUAACG
Molecule: long non-coding RNA, 215 nt
Filed under: Elaeis guineensis (African oil palm)
Lineage: Eukaryota; Viridiplantae; Streptophyta; Magnoliopsida; Arecales; Arecaceae
Description: long non-coding RNA (EGUI_LNC024966)
Source: RNAcentral